UCUGGCAGGAUGUUCCCAUUCUUGUCAUUGUUAGCAUGCUGGCUUACUUUUGUUUUCUUAAGCAGCUGCUGGUAAGUUCAGCUAAUAUGGAAAUGCUUCCUUCCUUACGAGCUUUUACCUGCUACUAAAGUCAUUAUGUACCCAGGUUUCGAAAAUUAAGUCUGGUGCAAUUGCCAUCUCUCUUCCUCUCUCCUGUAUAUUGGGUCUACUUGCAUCGAUGACAUUGACAACAAUGGUGAGGAGAAAAUACGUCUGGAUUUAUGCUACGACUCAAUACGCACUGGUGGUUCUUUCUGCACAUCUUUUCUUCUCGUUGCUCCACAUACAGGCUGUUCUCUCUGUUUGCAUUUGUUUGGCUCGGUGGCACAAUGUAUGGA
This is a long non-coding RNA of Hibiscus syriacus, 377 nucleotides long. RefSeq lists it as uncharacterized. The transcript has 3 exons. The record is from RefSeq and is a predicted model, not a curated record. NCBI's taxonomy places the organism in Eukaryota, Viridiplantae, Streptophyta, Magnoliopsida, Malvales, Malvaceae.